GAUGAACGCUGGCGGCGUGCCUAAUACAUGCAAGUCGAGCGAACAGACGAGGAGCUUGCUCCUCUGACGUUAGCGGCGGACGGGUGAGUAACACGUGGAUAACCUACCUAUAGGACUGGGAUAACUUCGGGAAACCGGAGCUAAUACCGGAUAAUAUAUUGAGCCGCAUGGUUCAAUAGUGAAAGACGGUUUUGCUGUCACUUAUAGAUGGAUCCGCGCCGCAUUAGCUAGUUGGUAAGGUAACGGCUUACCAAGGCAACGAUGCGUAGCCGACCUGAGAGGGUGAUCGGCCACACUGGAACUGAGACACGGUCCAGACUCCUACGGGAGGCAGCAGUAGGGAAUCUUCCGCAAUGGGCGAAAGCCUGACGGAGCAACGCCGCGUGAGUGAUGAAGGUCUUCGGAUCGUAAAACUCUGUUAUUAGGGAAGAACAAAUGUGUAAGUAACUAUGCACGUCUUGACGGUACCUAAUCAGAAAGCCACGGCUAACUACGUG
This 497-nucleotide ribosomal RNA is filed under the name uncultured bacterium. RNAcentral describes it as "partial 16S ribosomal RNA". It matches the Rfam family "Bacterial small subunit ribosomal RNA", at positions 28 to 507 of the family's 1533-position model. The record is from RNAcentral.